Molecule: ribosomal RNA, 253 nt
Filed under: uncultured bacterium
Lineage: Bacteria
Description: partial 16S ribosomal RNA
Rfam family: Bacterial small subunit ribosomal RNA
Source: RNAcentral
GACGGAGGGUGCUAGCGUUGUUCGGAAUUACUGGGCGUAAAGGGCGCGUAGGCGGCCCUGGAAGUCGGGUGUGAAAGCCCGGGGCUCAACCCCGGAACGGCACCCGAUACUCCUGGGCUCGAGACCGGGAGAGGUGGGUGGAAUACCCAGUGUAGAGGUGAAAUUCGUAGAUAUUGGGUGGAACACCGGUGGCGAAGGCGGCCCACUGGCCCGGUUCUGACGCUGAGACACGAAAGCGUGGGGAGCAAACAGG